CUUCAGCGAGCCGAGCCACAGCGGCUCGUCGCCCGCGCGCUCCUGGCCGUAGGUGGCGAGGAGCGCCUGGGCCUC
RNAcentral lists this antisense RNA (75 nucleotides) under Streptomyces eurocidicus. Its description in RNAcentral is "ASpks sRNA". It matches the Rfam family "ASpks TB sRNA". Lineage: Bacteria; Bacillati; Actinomycetota; Actinomycetes; Kitasatosporales; Streptomycetaceae. The record is from RNAcentral.